This 492-nucleotide ribosomal RNA is filed under the name uncultured bacterium. RNAcentral describes it as "partial 16S ribosomal RNA". It matches the Rfam family "Bacterial small subunit ribosomal RNA", at positions 29 to 507 of the family's 1533-position model. The record is from RNAcentral.
AGUGAACGCUGGCGGUAGGCCUAACACAUGCAAGUCGAACGGCAGCACAGUAAGAGCUUGCUCUUACGGGUGGCGAGUGGCGGACGGGUGAGGAAUACAUCGGAAUCUACUUUUUCGUGGGGGAUAACGUAGGGAAACUUACGCUAAUACCGCAUACGACCUACGGGUGAAAGCAGGGGAUCUUCGGACCUUGCGCGAUUGAAUGAGCCGAUGUCGGAUUAGCUAGUUGGCGGGGUAAAGGCCCACCAAGGCGACGAUCCGUAGCUGGUCUGAGAGGAUGGUCGGCCACACUGGAACUGAGACACGGUCCAGACUCCUACGGGAGGCAGCAGUGGGGAAUAUUGGACAAUGGGCGCAAGCCUGAUCCAGCCAUACCGAGUGGGUGAAGAAGGCCUUCGGGUUGUAAAGCCCUUUUGUUGGGAAAGAAAAGCAGCAGGUUAAUACCCCGCUGUUCUGACGGUACCCAAAGAAUAAGCACCGGCUAACUUCGUG